RNAcentral lists this ribosomal RNA (372 nucleotides) under Triticum aestivum (bread wheat). RNAcentral describes it as "partial small subunit ribosomal RNA". The record is from RNAcentral. Lineage: Eukaryota; Viridiplantae; Streptophyta; Magnoliopsida; Poales; Poaceae.
AUGCGUUUUCAGUCUCUAGACUAUGUUGGUUUCAAUGAAAAUCUUAGAAAAAGGGUUCCUACCAAUGUUUUAGUUGACAGAAUUUCUGAACUUAAUGAUGAUUUAGCUAUUCGAUAUAAUGAAUUGGGAUAUUCUCUUGAAUAUAGGCUCACAAAGUUCUGUCAAAAGAAUGCUUAUAAUGAUGAAUUCGUUGUGCAAUAUGAAGGACCAAAGGAAGAAUCUAUACCUCCCAAGGUUGAUCUUGGAGACUUUUUUCCCAACAAAUUUAGCCCUUUUGAUUACUUUUGCUUGCCUCAAAGAAAACUUGCUGCUGAACAUAGAGAAUAUGAAAUGAGUUUUAAUAAUCUAUCUUACUAUUAUGGCAAUACCUAG